This 253-nucleotide ribosomal RNA is filed under the name uncultured bacterium. RNAcentral describes it as "partial 16S ribosomal RNA". It matches the Rfam family "Bacterial small subunit ribosomal RNA", at positions 524 to 776 of the family's 1533-position model. The record is from RNAcentral.
UACGGAGGGUGCAAGCGUUAUCCGGAUUCACUGGGUUUAAAGGGUGCGUAGGUGGGUAAGUAAGUCAGUGGUGAAAUCUCCGGGCUUAACCCGGAAACUGCCAUUGAUACUAUUUGUCUUGAAUACUGUGGAGGUCAGCGGAAUAUGUCAUGUAGCGGUGAAAUGCUUAGAUAUGACAUAGAACACCAAUUGCGAAGGCAGCUGGCUACACAAAUAUUGACACUGAGGCACGAAAGCGUGGGGAGCAAACAGG